GGGUCUAUGAUUAUAAACCCAAGUCAUGACUAGAGAUGAUGACCUAAAAAUCAUGCUCAAUAGGAUUACACUGAGGCCC
This is a small nucleolar RNA of Onychomys torridus (southern grasshopper mouse), 79 nucleotides long. RefSeq annotates it as small nucleolar RNA SNORD115. The transcript has a single exon. The record is from RefSeq and is a predicted model, not a curated record. NCBI's taxonomy places the organism in Eukaryota, Metazoa, Chordata, Mammalia, Rodentia, Cricetidae.